UAGGGAAUCUUCCACAAUGGGCGGCAAGCCUGAUGGAGCAACACCGCGUGAGUGAAGAAGGGUUUCGGCUCGUAAAGCUCUGUUGUUAAAGAAGAACACGUAUGAGAGUAACUGUUCAUACGUUGACGGUAUUUAACCAGAAAGUCACGGCUAACUACGUGCCGG
This 165-nucleotide ribosomal RNA is filed under the name uncultured bacterium. RNAcentral describes it as "partial 16S ribosomal RNA". It matches the Rfam family "Bacterial small subunit ribosomal RNA", at positions 355 to 511 of the family's 1533-position model. The record is from RNAcentral.